CAUUAACAAGCCGUGGAGGUCAACCUUUAAAAGAGGAUUGAUCUCACACCUGGCCACCCUUGUUUAUUUUAACCUGUUGCUUUGGUGGGCCUGCCGCGAGGCUGCCGGGAAGCUUUUUAGUUUCUGGGCCAGCGCUCACCAAAGUCUUAAUGAACUCUGGAUGAUAUUUUGUUGCAAGUCUGAGUAUGCAAAUAUAAAAUUUGUUAAAACUUUCAACAACGGAUCUCUUGGUUCUGGCAUCGAUGAAGAACGCAGCGAAAUGCGAUAAGUAAUGUGAAUUGCAGAAUUCCGUGAAUCAUCGAAUCUUUGAACGCAUAUUGCGCCCUCUGGUAUUCCGGAGGGCAUGCCUGUCCGAGCGUCAUUACUAUCUUCAAGCGCGGCUUGUGUGUUGAGCCUUUGUUCUUUAAAUGGACAGGCUUGAAAUGCAGUGGCAAUGCUGCAGCUGGUGCCCGAGCGUUAUGGGGCUUUGUCACUCGCUCUGUUGGCUCCAACCAGCAUUUUUUGCCAUAAAACCUCUUUUUAUCAAACUGACCUCGGAUCAGGCAAGAAUACCC
RNAcentral lists this ribosomal RNA (554 nucleotides) under uncultured Ascomycota. RNAcentral's name for it is "eukaryotic LSU rRNA". The stretch from base 208 to 361 matches the Rfam family "5.8S ribosomal RNA". Lineage: Eukaryota; Fungi; Ascomycota. The record is from RNAcentral.